This is a long non-coding RNA of Coregonus clupeaformis (lake whitefish), 1248 nucleotides long. RefSeq lists it as uncharacterized. The transcript has 4 exons. The record is from RefSeq and is a predicted model, not a curated record. NCBI's taxonomy places the organism in Eukaryota, Metazoa, Chordata, Actinopteri, Salmoniformes, Salmonidae.
UUCACCAUUAAUUUUUUGCGUCUGGGAUUUUAGAACUCCUUCAUAUAAGGUCUGUGUUUCGUGUGUACCCUGCUGUGAAGUUUUGAUAUCCGUGCAAAUCUCUCGGGGACAAGUGAACUAGCUUUGAUCAGCAGCAAGGAUGCUACUGUAUGUACCGGAUUGCAACCAUUACUCCGAUAAGCACAUGUGUAUUUUAUCAUUUUCGGAUGUCUGUAGUCGAGAGGCAUCGCUGGAUCCGUGUGAUAAGUCCAACAGGAGUGCAUCCCUCAGACCGUCUGGUGCCUGGACAUCCUGUACCCGUGUGAUCAGAGCACGAGUGUCCAGUUUUUGGAGACUACAGCACAUCGAGCAUGUGGACGGACAGACAUGAGGCGUGGCAUGCGGAACAUCAGAUCAACGCCACUCUCAGCAAGGAGAUCUGCUGGAAGUGAUGUCUCUCCUGCAUUUACCAGAAAAAUGAAUCUCCACACAACAAAGGGGGUCAGAAAUUAUUUAAACAUCACAGAUAUAAAUUCCCACUGUGCCCAUGAUAAAAUGCAAUGUGAAUUGUGUUUUACUACUGAAUGAAACUGUGAGGAGAUGCACAGACCAGCCUUUGUGAUUGAACUUACGUUGACAACAUUACUUUAGUUGGCUGCUUUGAGCAAAACCCGUAUGUAAUAUAACCUAUUCUGGGAGCCUAGUGUGUGUGUAUGAACUAUGUGGAAUAUUUCUGGACCAUUGGCUUCCCUGAAAACGGGCAGUGACAGGAGGAGCAAUAGGAGUCUGUCAGAGGUCAGAGGUCGUCACACCGGAUGGGGAUGGCGAUGGAGGCUUUGAACCAAGAAGAAGAAUGAAGAAGCAGAUGUUCCUUCCAGUGAUGUGGAGCUGCACUUAGACAUGGUGCCAGUAAGGAUGGUCUUCACGGAGGCUGUAAGACCCUCCCUCCUUGAUAUAUAAAUCCUUCAACUUCACUGCCUCUUCAUUGGUAAGGUCCCUUGCGCCAUUGGGACACUUGACCUCCACCGCUGCUGUGGUGCCACCAGACCAUGACCCCGUGACCCAAAGCCCUGCACAGCCAUCCCUGUAGCCAUGUUGAAUGCCUUGAUGACCUCCUCUUCGCUCUCUUUACAGACACCAUUGUACAUAGACAAUAUUAUACUGAUAUGUAAGCUAUGUGUGACGCUUUAAACGUAUGUAAAAGUAUGUAAAAAAUACAAAAAAUGUAUGCACUCACUAACUGUAAGUGGCUCUGGAUAAGAGCGUCUG